Molecule: ribosomal RNA, 253 nt
Filed under: uncultured prokaryote
Description: partial 16S ribosomal RNA
Rfam family: Bacterial small subunit ribosomal RNA
Source: RNAcentral
UACGUAGGUGGCAUGCGUUGUCCGUAUUUACUGGGCGUAAAGGGCGUGCAGGCGGUCUGUUAAGUCUAGGGUGAAAGCUCCCGGCUCAACUGGGAGAGGUCCUUGGAUACUGGCAGACUUGAGGAGAGUAGAGGAGAGUGGAAUUCCCGGUGUAGUGGUGAUAUGCGUAGAUAUCGGGAGGAACACCAGUGGCGAAGGCGGCUCUCUGGGCUCUACCUGACGCUGAGACGCGAAAGCGUGGGGAGCGAACCGG